CAGCUCGUUGGCGGGGUAACGGCCCACCAAGGCAACGACGGGUAGCUGGUCUGAGAGGACGAUCAGCCACACUGGAACUGAGACACGGUCCAGACUCCUACGGGAGGCAGCAGUGGGGAAUUUUGCGCAAUGGGCGAAAGCCUGACGCAGCAACGCCGCGUGUGUGAUGAAGGUCUUCGGAUUGUAAAGCACUUUCGACCGGGACGAAAACCUGCUGGCUAACAUCCAGCAACUUGACGGUACCGGGAGAAGAAGCACCGGCUAACUCUGUGCCAGCAGCCGCGGUAAUACAGAGGGUGCAAGCGUUGUUCGGAAUUAUUGGGCGUAAAGCGCGUGUAGGCGGCUUUGCAAGUCGGGUGUGAAAGCCCUCGGCUCAACCGAGGAAGCGCGCCCGAAACUGCAGAGCUUGAGUACCGGAGAGGAUGGCGGAAUUCCCCAAGUAGAAGUGAAAUUCGUAGAUAUGGGGAGGAACACCGGUGGCGAAGGCGGCCAUCUGGCUCGUAUCUGACGCUCAGGCGCGACAGCGUGGGGAUCAAACAGGAUU
This 544-nucleotide ribosomal RNA is filed under the name uncultured delta proteobacterium. RNAcentral describes it as "SSU rRNA". It matches the Rfam family "Bacterial small subunit ribosomal RNA", at positions 242 to 779 of the family's 1533-position model. Lineage: Bacteria; Deltaproteobacteria. The record is from RNAcentral.